RNAcentral lists this transfer RNA (77 nucleotides) under Verrucomicrobiia bacterium. RNAcentral describes it as "tRNA-Lys". Lineage: Bacteria; Pseudomonadati; Verrucomicrobiota; Verrucomicrobiia. The record is from RNAcentral.
GGAGUCGAAGCCACAGCAGACCGGCACCGGGUUUUUACCCCGGUUGGGUGAGGUUGCAACUACCUCCGGCUCCACCA